Molecule: long non-coding RNA, 893 nt
Organism: Felis catus (domestic cat)
Lineage: Eukaryota; Metazoa; Chordata; Mammalia; Carnivora; Felidae
Exons: 5
Source: RefSeq, a predicted model, not a curated record
CCUUCAAGAAACAGAAAGAAGUCUGGUAGGAGUGCAACCUACAAAAACAAGAGAAUGAGGGAGACCCAUAGCAAGUGGAGCUUUAUAAGCCAGUGUGGCGUGCAAAAUGGCCCCAAAAAGAUGUUCACACUCUGAAACCCGUGAAUAUGGCAAAAAGGACCUUGCAGAUAUAAUCAAGGUUAAGACCUUCUGCGAGAGAGGCUAGUCUGGAUUAUCCAGGUGGACCCAAUCUAAUUAGAUGAGCCCCUGAAAGCAGAACACUGUUUACAGCUGGUGGCAGGUGAAGAGGUGAGGCAGAUGGGAAGUCGGAGAGAUUAAAAGCCAGAGAAGGAGGGGUGACACGAGGGAGGUGGGCAGCUUCACGUUGCUGAAAGAGGCUCCUGUCUGUUAACCAGCAAAGAAACGGGGACCUAGCCAUCCAAACUCAAGGAACUAAAUUCUGCCACCAGUUCAUUGGAAGUGAAUCCUCCUGCAGAGCAUCCAGUUUGAGUUACCAAAAGCCAACUGCAGUAAGGAAGUAGAAGAAGAGUCUGACGACUCUUCAGAAGGCUGAUGGCAGCCUAACUCUACGUCGCAAUGCCUCCAUCGUUCCCCUCACUUCCUUUCAUUGUAUUGGCAUCUCAUCAUCCCACCUCAUCACAGGAAGAAGGGGUAUACCCUUAGAAAAAUGGAAUUCUGUAUUCAAAAGACACCAUAGACGAGGACCUGUCAAGUAAGAGGACAAGUGCCAGCGGGAUGAGGUGCAGGGUCAGACAGACUGAGGUUCUGAUCAGGGCUAGAGUUGUGUGGCCCUUAGCAGACUAUUCAGCUGAGGACAGAGCUACUGAUAACUCAGAAUCCUGUUCCAGAGAGAGAGAGAGAGAGAGCGAGCUGGAGAGGGACGCAGAGAGAGG